Molecule: long non-coding RNA, 1662 nt
Organism: Cebus imitator (Panamanian white-faced capuchin)
Lineage: Eukaryota; Metazoa; Chordata; Mammalia; Primates; Cebidae
Exons: 2
Source: RefSeq, a predicted model, not a curated record
CUGCCUCAUCCUCCCCUGCUUCCUCCUACCUGCAUCUGAGGUGAGUCCUUUAGAGUGACAGGUGGAAGAUGACACCAAGCAGCCCCUGUUAGCCUGGUCUGCCUCCUGCUCUCCCUCAGGGAGGCCGCCUGUCUACUCACCGCUGUGCCUUUCUGGACAGCCAGGGGGUCAAGCCUUGGCAAGCCCACAGCCCGCAGCAGACGAUGAGGGCAUUGGAGACCCAACCUCUCAUGCCGCUCAUUACCUUCGGUGAUGGUCCUAGCAGCCAUUUUUCUUCACAUCCUCUAUCACUUUCACUUGGUGCUAAUGGAUGGAAUUCCUGCACAAGUUAUAACUGGACAAGAAAUCCCAGCAAAAAAAAACAUUUUCUUUCUACUUCGUUGAUUGUGGGAAAGCAGACAUUUCUCUGAAGCAGGACCUCAUUCUUCCAAAUGGUAUUGCUAGUAAAAUCGCAUGCUGGGCUUCAGACUUCAGGGAUCCGUUCCAUGCACUGACCAAGAAUUCUAUUAAUCCUUUUUAUUUUUACGGUGUUUUACAUUUUCUCGUUCUGUAAAACGUAUUGGAGGGAAGUGGCACAAUCAUCACUCACUGUAAUCUCACCUGACAAAGGUCUAAUAUCCAGAAUCUAGUAUCUACAGAAUCUUGUUCAGUAUCCAGAAUUCAACAAGCAAGAACAAAAAAUCCAACUAACAAAUGGGUAAAGAGAUGAACGCUUUUCAAAAGAAGACAUGCAAGUGGCCAAAUCAUCAGAUAGGUGCCAAUCAAAACCGCAGUGAGUUACCACCUCUUACCUGUCACAAAGUCAGAAAUGGUGGUGAGGCUGCAGAGAGUUGAAACAGACGCUGCUGGUGGGAAAGCGAACCUGUUCAGCCGCGGUGGAAAGCAGCGUGGAGAUCUCUGCAAGAACUUAAAAUAGAACUACCAUUCCACCCAGCAAUUCCACUUAUGGGGAUAUACCCAAAGGAAAAGAAUUCAUUUUAUCAAAAAGACCCCUGCACCCAUAUGUUCAAUGCAGUGCUAUUCUCACUAGCAAGGACACAGAGUCAAUCUCAGUGCCCUGCAACAGUGAACUGAAUGAAAACAAUGUGGUGCACAGACACCAUGAAAAUCUAUCCAGCCAUGAAACAACAAAAUCAUGUCCUCUUCAGCAACACAGAUGGAACAAGAGGCUGUUAUCCUAAGCAGCCUAAUGCAAGGACAGAAAGCCACAUACUGCAUGUUCCCAUUUGAAAGUGGCAGCUAAACAUUGAAUUCACAUGAACCAGAUGCUGGAAAUCACUAGAUGGGGGAGAGGGGACGGGUACCUGGGCUGAAAACCACCUGUUGGGGACCCUGCUUACUGUUCGGGUGAUGGGAUCAUUGGGACACCAAGCCUCAGCCUCCCAAAGUCUACCCGUGUAACAGCCCUGUAUGUGUACCCUUUAAUCUAUAAUAUAGGCUGAAAUUAAAGAUGAAUAAAUAAAAAUGACAUAAGGCCAGAAAAAAAUGGGGUUAACUGACUGAGAGAACUCUGCACUAUGAACCCUAACCCAGCUCAAAAAAAUAAACUCCAAUAGUUUAAAAUAACCUCAAGUUGUGUGAUGAUAAUUGCAUAAAAGUUAUACAUGUAAGUGCCAAACCCUAAAAUUAAACAUUGCAUAAUGAAAUUACACAUGAAUCCCA